RNAcentral lists this ribosomal RNA (274 nucleotides) under uncultured bacterium. Its description in RNAcentral is "partial 16S ribosomal RNA". It matches the Rfam family "Bacterial small subunit ribosomal RNA", at positions 523 to 796 of the family's 1533-position model. The record is from RNAcentral.
AUACGGAGGGGGCUAGCGUUGUUCGGAAUUACUGGGCGUAAAGCGCACGUAGGCGGAUUAAAAAGUUAGAGGUGAAAUCCCAGGGCUUAACCCUGGAACUGCCUUUAAAACUAGUAGUCUAGAGUUCGAGAGAGGUGAGUGGAAUUCCAAGUGUAGAGGUGAAAUUCGUAGAUAUUUGGAGGAACACCAGUGGCGAAGGCGGCUCACUGGCUCGAUACUGACGCUGAGGUGCGAAAGCGUGGGGAGCAAACAGGAUUAGAUACCCUAGUAGUCC